This 465-nucleotide ribosomal RNA is filed under the name Vreelandella stevensii. RNAcentral describes it as "partial 16S ribosomal RNA". It matches the Rfam family "Bacterial small subunit ribosomal RNA", at positions 338 to 795 of the family's 1533-position model. The record is from RNAcentral. Lineage: Bacteria; Pseudomonadati; Pseudomonadota; Gammaproteobacteria; Oceanospirillales; Halomonadaceae.
CCUAUGGGUGGCAGCAGUGGGGAAUAUUGGACAAUGGGGGGAACCCUGAUCCAGCCAUGCCGCGUGUGUGAAGAAGGCCCUCGGGUUGUAAAGCACUUUCAGUGAGGAAGAACGCCUGGUGGUUAAUACCCAUCAGGAAAGACAUCACUCACAGAAGAAGCACCGGCUAACUCCGUGCCAGCAGCCGCGGUAAUACGGAGGGUGCGAGCGUUAAUCGGAAUUACUGGGCGUAAAGCGCGCGUAGGUGGCUUGAUAAGCCGGUUGUGAAAGCCCCGGGCUCAACCUGGGAACGGCAUCCGGAACUGUCAAGCUAGAGUGCAGGAGAGGAAGGUAGAAUUCCCGGUGUAGCGGUGAAAUGCGUAGAGAUCGGGAGGAAUACCAGUGGCGAAGGCGGCCUUCUGGACUGACACUGACACUGAGGUGCGAAAGCGUGGGUAGCAAACAGGAUUAGAUACCCUUGUAGUC